Small nucleolar RNA from Cavia porcellus (domestic guinea pig), 104 nucleotides. The record is from Ensembl. NCBI's taxonomy places the organism in Eukaryota, Metazoa, Chordata, Mammalia, Rodentia, Caviidae.
UCCUGGUACCAAAAAAAAUUCUUAAGAAAAGUCCAUGUCGGUGAUUUGGAGAGAUCUCGGGCCAGCUUGCUCCCCACAGGCUCAAGAGCAACUGUCCCACAUGG